CAAAUUCAACUUCGGUUGGAAUAUUAUUUUUCCCAAAAAUACUGUAAUUAGAGGUGUCACACUAAUACAAAGUUGUAAUAUUAACUAAGCUAUACACGAAAAAUAUCAAUUGUAUACAAGCUCUGAAUCAUGAGCUAAGUAAAACAGAAGAAAAAUAAAUUACUUUAUCAGUGUAGCCAGCCUUAGCAAUAAUUGUCAUCAAGAGUUCAUUCCUACAUGAGUUUACAAUGAAAAAAAACA
Molecule: long non-coding RNA, 240 nt
Filed under: Hordeum vulgare
Lineage: Eukaryota; Viridiplantae; Streptophyta; Magnoliopsida; Poales; Poaceae
Description: long non-coding RNA (HVUL_LNC011427)
Source: RNAcentral